Molecule: ribosomal RNA, 380 nt
Filed under: uncultured eukaryote
Lineage: Eukaryota
Description: SSU rRNA
Rfam family: Eukaryotic small subunit ribosomal RNA
Source: RNAcentral
AGCUCCAGUAGCGUAUAUUAAACUUGUUGCGGUUAGAACGCUCGUAGUCCGAUGUAUGUUCAGAUUUAGCGAUCCUCCCUAGCGGUGCGUACUCGAAUUGAUUUGACCAUAAUUUCUGAGUUUCGCAUCUGUAGUUUAUUCUAUGAUGCGAUAUCAGAACUUUUACUUCGAGAAAAUGAGAGUGCUUCGAGCAAAUGGUCGUCCUGAAUACACUAGCAUGGAAUAAUCUUAAGAGACAUCGUUCUAAAUUGGUUGGAAUUUGGAUAAUUGUAAUGACGGUGAGGAUAGUUGGGGGCAUUCAUAUUUAAUUGCUAGAGGUGAAAUUCUUGGAUUUUUUAAAGUACGGACUUCUGCGAAUGCAUCUGCCAGAGAUGUUUUUC